Non-coding RNA from Myodes glareolus (Bank vole), 1081 nucleotides. NCBI's taxonomy places the organism in Eukaryota, Metazoa, Chordata, Mammalia, Rodentia, Cricetidae. The record is from RefSeq and is a predicted model, not a curated record.
AGGGCUUCUUCAUCCUCAUGUUUGGAACAAUCCUGGAUCCAAAGAUAAGAGAAGCCUUAAAGAGUCGAGUGAUGUCUGCCAAAUGGGCCUCCAGAGCAUCAGAGGAUCUUUCUUCUGAAUUCUCUUGUCAUCCUACCAAAGGGCCAAGCUAACAAAGUAGCAUGCAUCCCCACCAUGGGAGGUUGCUCAUUCCUGGAAUGGCAGUGCCUGAGGAAGCAUGCACUUGAUUCCUGUCCUCUUGCCACUGAGUACUUUGAAGGAAGCCUCUACCCUGCAGAGCUGAUGGAGGGGGUGACAUGUGGAAGGCCCCUCUGUCAAAGCUGUUCUGUGCUUCUAAACAUGUCUUGCCCACCAACUGCAAAUCUACAUACGACACACUAAGCAUCUGCAAGGGACAAGAAGACAAAGUGGGUAUCAACAACAGUGUCUCACUGGUGCCUCCACCUCCACACGGCUGGGUCAUAUUUAUCGUCAGGGAGAAAGCUUGGCAUUUCUCAGCAACGGUGGCCUAGGAUGCAGUGUGUUGGAUUCUAAAGGAGAGUUCUCAAGAAGAGUCUCCAACAGUCGGACUGACUCUAAGUAGCUCACAGCUGGCUCUGUGCAGAAGGGCGCCUCCUGCCAGUGUACUCUACUUUUUCAAAAUCAAACCGAUUAGAUGGUCAAGUCUGGCUGGGGCCUGAAUGCAACUUCUUGGACUGUGAACCAAGAGAAAACUCUAGAGUGUUGGAAUUGGACACGAUGCCUGUUUUAAGAUGCAGUGGAAACCUGGAACUGUGAGUCACGGCUCUGCUAACCUGGGCCAACUCUGUUGGCUUCCAGGGCUUCACUUUGUAGGCAGAAGUUUCUGUCACACCUGGUUCUGCAGCCGUUUAGUCCCAAAUAAACACACAGAGGCUUAUAUAAUCUAUAAAUUGUUUGGCCUAUUAGAUCAGGAUUAUUAUUAACUAGCUCUUACAACUUAAAUCAACCCAGUUCUUAUCGAUGUUUAGCCAUGUGGCUUAGUAUCUUUUCUCAGUAGGGCAUUCUCAUCUUGCUUCCUCUGUGCCUGGCUUGUGACUGCAUCUCUCCUUUUCUCUUCCCA